RNAcentral lists this transfer RNA (72 nucleotides) under Candidatus Iainarchaeum sp. RNAcentral describes it as "tRNA-Val". It matches the Rfam family "tRNA". From Rfam's summary of the family: Transfer RNA (tRNA) molecules are approximately 80 nucleotides in length. Their secondary structure includes four short double-helical elements and three loops (D, anti-codon, and T loops). Further hydrogen bonds mediate the characteristic L-shaped molecular structure. tRNAs have two regions of fundamental functional importance: the anti-codon, which is responsible for specific mRNA codon recognition, and the 3' end, to which the tRNAs corresponding amino acid is attached (by aminoacyl-tRNA synthetases). tRNAs cope with the degeneracy of the genetic code in two manners: having more than one tRNA (with a specific anti-codon) for a particular amino acid; and 'wobble' base-pairing, i.e. permitting non-standard base-pairing at the 3rd anti-codon position. The record is from RNAcentral. Lineage: Archaea; Nanobdellati; Candidatus Iainarchaeota; Candidatus Iainarchaeia; Candidatus Iainarchaeales; Candidatus Iainarchaeaceae.
GGGCCCGUGGUCUAUCGGAAAGACGAUUCCCUUACACGGAAUACAUUGGCGGUUCGACUCCGCCCGGGCCCA